CCCUAUACUGACCCUGAAUAUGGAAGUAGGCUUUUCCAAGUAGUGUCAAGUACCCAUCUAUGGUGUGAACCUGAGCAGGCCAGAUCAGAGCCAGCCACCCUUGCCUACCUUCUCAAGUAUUGAAAGCCCAAGUCUUGCAGCUACCCAGGCACUUCUUAGCUGCUUCCAUGAUGAUUCCCACCCCCACCCCAAUCCCCAUAAUAGAACUCGGAGGUCACUGAGUGCCAGAAAACCUGAAAUUCCUUGAGUUCUCCUCUCCAUCCCUGCCCACGUCCGCUUAGCCCCGCUUCACUGCUCUGAUAUGGUUAACCGUCUUUGAAGAACUUCACCAAAUGCUUUCUUCACCAGGCUCAUGCUAGGAAACGGACGGAUCUGAGAACCACUCAAAGAGGCCGAAUCUUCCUUGAGGAAAGCAAGACCCCGAGACAGUGGUUCUGGAACAGCUCCUCCCUGAGUCAGUGACAUGGGAACCACAUCUGAGUGACUUCACCGAGCCCCCUUCCCUCUUACCUGUGACCUGGAUGAUCGUGUGAAAUCCCUCAAGAACUGAGAACCAUGUAGCAAACGUGUCCCUGAUCAGCCACGACAAACUAUAAAUCAGACAAGACACGCUGGGAGAUGCCAAUAAGGAGAGCUGAGCUGCCAUGGUCCCCACAGGCACAGAGUGGCUUCUCUGGACACAAAAGCAGCACACAAAGGUGGGGCCGCUCUUUCCUUUCUAUAAACUGUGGUAAUACAUCUACUAAAGUUCUGUGGCUCCGGCCAGCAGCCCCUCUCAGAUGGAAAGGCAUGACGGCGUGUGUUGUUAGCCAUCUCCCCAGGCCAGUGUCUCCACUUUCCUGGCCAACAAGGCAGGCAAGAAUGUGCAGAUGGUUCUCAUAACUCUGCUGUGGCUGAGCUCUGACUUGACCCACGCAAUGGAGGGACUCAGCAAGUGUGUUGGACUUAGAGCUUCUGUCCAUAGGAGGUAUCUGUUAGAGUGACUGCUGGUUCCCAGAGCACCCCUCCAGCAGCCUGUAUUCUUUUCUCACUGCUCUCACAAAACACUUGCCAAAGGCGACCUAAAGCAGGCUUUCUUUCAGGUCUCAGUUUGAGACCACAGUUCGUCAUGGAGGCAGGACAUGCGACAAAAGUGUGACUCAGCUGUGAAAACUUCCCAGCUGUCAAGAAACUGAGGGGAUGAAUACUGGUACUCAGUCUGAUUUCUUUUUUGUCUUCAGUCUAUGACCCAAGCCAUGGGAUAAUGUCACCUAUGUUUAGGGGUCUACUCAGGCUUAAGAAUGUGAGCCUCCCUGUCCCUGCUGACUUCACUAAGCUGCAACUAACUGGGAAACCUGUAUAUCUAUCCACAUCUAACAGAUCUUGUUCCCCCAGUCCUCAAACACAUUUGAGAUUUGAGAAUAUGGCACUUAAUAUAAAAGCCUUUUUAUGAUGAAGAGACAUGUCAGCUCCUGGCAGCAUCUUGUAUCUCCUCCAAGAAGAUAAAAGGCCGCAGAACUGCCACCUGGAAGCUAAUGGCAAGGCUGGCCACACAGCGAAAAGCUGAGAUCCUGUCCAGACUGUGAAUAAGUGGAACAACGGAGGACGGAUUGCCCCAUACUGCAAAGUCAAGAUUCAUUGUUCCCACCUGACCUCCAGAGAAACAGCAGAUGCCAUGGCUUCUAUAUUCCUGAUUGGUGUGCCAUUUCCCCCCAGGCUCCUGGAACACCACCGCUGCAGCCUGCCUCCUCGGCUCCCUCAAGGAACGUUCCUGAGAUCGUCCUUCGUGCGUGACUCCUGGUUCCCCCUUUCCACUUCACCCCUUGUCAACUUGAAGUAGUCUUGAGAAUCCAGUGCCCUUGUUCCCCCACUUGCUCACAUAACUCACCUCUUUUUAUAGUAAUCAAAAAGGAGGAAUAGCCGGGCAGUGGUGGCACACGCCUUUAAUCCCAG
This is a non-coding RNA of Peromyscus maniculatus bairdii (prairie deer mouse), 1932 nucleotides long. The record is from RefSeq and is a predicted model, not a curated record. NCBI's taxonomy places the organism in Eukaryota, Metazoa, Chordata, Mammalia, Rodentia, Cricetidae.